GACGAACGCUGGCGGCGUGCUUAACACAUGCAAGUCGAACGGAAAGGCCCUGCUUUUGUGGGGUGCUCGAGUGGCGAACGGGUGAGUAACACGUGAGUAACCUGCCCUUGACUUUGGGAUAACUUCAGGAAACUGGGGCUAAUACCGGAUAGGAGCUCCUGCUGCAUGGUGGGGGUUGGAAAGGUUCGGCGGUUGGGGAUGGACUCGCGGCUUAUCAGCUUGUUGGUGGGGUAGUGGCUUACCAAGGCUUUGACGGGUAGCCGGCCUGAGAGGGUGACCGGCCACAUUGGGACUGAGAUACGGCCCAGACUCCUACGGGAGGAAGCAGUGGGGAAUAUUGCACAAUGGGCGGAAGCCUGAUGCAGCAACGCCGCGUGCGGGAUGACGGCCUUCGGGUUGUAAACCGCUUUCGCCUGUGACGAAGCGUGAGUGACGGUAAUGGGUAAAGAAGCACCGGCUAACUACGUG
This 468-nucleotide ribosomal RNA is filed under the name uncultured bacterium. RNAcentral describes it as "partial 16S ribosomal RNA". It matches the Rfam family "Bacterial small subunit ribosomal RNA", at positions 28 to 507 of the family's 1533-position model. The record is from RNAcentral.